Non-coding RNA from Linepithema humile (Argentine ant), 342 nucleotides. The record is from RefSeq and is a predicted model, not a curated record. Lineage: Eukaryota; Metazoa; Arthropoda; Insecta; Hymenoptera; Formicidae.
CUCCAGCGAAAAGUAUUACCUAACGUGACGAUAAUUAUUUCAUCAAUAUUUCCCUUCACAACAUGAUUUAAGAGUUACAUAAGAUAAAAAAGGACAUUUUUACUUACGGGUUUAGUUCCGUCCAUCAUGAUUGGUUCGGCCAAAUCUCUGGGACUUACAUUCAUUUGUUCGGAAAUCAUACUCAGGAAGGUAUAUGAGCCACGGAAAUGUUCAUUGGUGUGCCAGUUAGAUCUAAAAAUUAACGAUCUUCUUAACAACAAAUAUAGUCCAUCAAAUACGUCAAUGUCCGAUAAAGUCUCCAUGUACCUCGCAUUUUUUCCGACAAUCCAAGCACAAAGAAGA